AUGAUUCCAGAGUUCCAUUUUCCUUUUCAAAAUAUAGUACAUGAACUUCCAUUUGUGUUUGACAAUGUAGAACUUUAAAAAAUGUUCAACUAGGUAGCACUUACAAUAUGGAUUUUAGUACCGAACAACAACUAGAUGCAUAUCAUCAAAAAAUUCUUUUUUUGACUAAAAUUUGCAUAAACACCAGCCACGUACUGCACAUAUUCUCAGGCAUAGCAGAACUUUGUUCUCAGGCAUUACAUCAAGCAAAUACAUCACAUGUCACCAACAAAUCAACAACAGCGGUACAAUCAUCCAUAGAAGAUGAACUAAAAAGCACACACAAGUGAGACCCUGUUCUUCCAUAGCUUGGUCUACUUCGACUAGAACGGACAACCCCUUUUUUUGCAAAAAAAUCUCCAUUGUUUAUGCACGGGUAGCUUCCUACUUGCACCUUCUAGCUCACCAGCAUCUGCAAGAUGGAAUGGAUAUUAAGAAUAAUGCAAAGAAUAUGUUGGAGAAGAAGUUCUCGGGAGAAGAGGGAGACGUCCAUAUUGUGUCAGAGGUGCGCCAUAGAGGGGAGGACGGGCGGCGCGCAUGGGGGCUAGCGGUGGAUGCCGGCGCUGAUGUGCGGGAGGGAGGAGGGGGGUAGGGCGGUGGUGCGGUACCGAAAGUCGACUGAUGGCGGGCAGCAGUAGGAGGUGGCAGCGUGUGUUGACGGCGGCUGGAUCCGGUCGCGGGGGCAGCACGGCGGCCGGAUCCAAGGGCGGCGCAGCGACCGGACCCAGGAUCGGGUGGCACAAGGGGUGGAUCCAUGCGAGGAGGGCGGUGCGUGCGCGGAGAUAGAAGGCAGCAGGCGGCCGCCGUAGCGGAGGGUGGAGCGGGAGGUAGCGUGGCAACCGACUGCGUUCGUGUGCUCCAGGGUGGGGGUGGCCGGCGGCGGGAGGUGCGCCCGCACCAGGGGGCGGCGGCGGUCAUGGAGGGGGCGGGGAAGGAGGGGAUCGGGUGGGGAUGGGCUGCUGGGGGUCGUGGAGGUAGUGGUCGGGGGUGGGUGGAUAUCAUUUUUUUCUUUUCUCCACUCUUGUGCCUGUAUAGGAGCCAACCGAUGUUUCCGAGAUCCAGAAAAAAGGAAAACAGAGCGACAGACCGGCCCGUCCCGAUCCCCUUUCGCCGUCGUCCUCCCCCGCAACCCCGCCGCCACCCUCCUGCCGUGGCUCGCAUGCAGCGCCGCCGACAUCCUCCCGCGGACCCUCCCGUCCGGCGAUGCGGGACGCAAGGGAGGUCGGAGCCACCGUCCCCAAGCGCGGUCGCUGGGGUUCGAUUCGCGUCGCCGCCGACCCCGCGCGCUCCCACAACCCACCUCCGAGCCCUGCCCCGACCACAACCUUCCUGCGCCCCGCGCCCGUCGCUACUGCCACGCGCCCUGCGCUCCCUUUUAUUUGGCCGGGGUCGCUGCUUCCUUCAUCUGCGCCAUGCCGGAGCGUAUACGCCGACCUUCCGCCAUCAAGCUCAAUAAGUGAGGGCCGCGAGCAAAAAAGAGGAGCUAC
RNAcentral lists this long non-coding RNA (1526 nucleotides) under Triticum aestivum (bread wheat). Its description in RNAcentral is "long non-coding RNA (TAES_LNC005466)". Lineage: Eukaryota; Viridiplantae; Streptophyta; Magnoliopsida; Poales; Poaceae. The record is from RNAcentral.